CAAGCCGGCCGGGCUGUCGCAGCGGCUGCCUCGCAGCCGUUGAGGAAAGUCCGCGCUCCCCAGAGCACGACGCCGGGUAACACCCGGAGCGGGGUGACCUGCUGGAACAGGGCCACAGAGAAGCGCAGUGCCCGGCCGCCGCCCACGGCGGCGGCCGAGCGAGGGUGAAACGGUGGGGUAAGAGCCCACCGGCGUCCGCCGCAAGGCGGGCGGCCAGGCAACCCCCGUCGGGAGCAAGGCCAAGCAGGGGCAAGCUGCUGCUCGCAGCGCCUGAGCCCCGGGUCGGCCGCACGAGCCGGCCAGCAAUGGCCGGCCUAGAGAGAUGACGGCCUAAAACAGAACGCGGCUUACGGGCUGGCUUGCCAG
This 366-nucleotide RNase P RNA is filed under the name Anaerolineales bacterium. RNAcentral describes it as "RNase P RNA component class A". It matches the Rfam family "Bacterial RNase P class A". Rfam says of the family: Ribonuclease P (RNase P) is a ubiquitous endoribonuclease, found in archaea, bacteria and eukarya as well as chloroplasts and mitochondria. The record is from RNAcentral. Lineage: Bacteria; Bacillati; Chloroflexota; Anaerolineae; Anaerolineales.